This 439-nucleotide ribosomal RNA is filed under the name uncultured bacterium. Its description in RNAcentral is "bacterial SSU rRNA". It matches the Rfam family "Bacterial small subunit ribosomal RNA", at positions 958 to 1398 of the family's 1533-position model. The record is from RNAcentral.
AACGCGAAGAACCUUACCCAGGCUUGAACAGCGAGUGACCACUCAUGAAAGUGAGCUUCCGCAAGGACACUCGUAGAGGUGCUGCAUGGCUGUCGUCAGCUCGUGUCGUGAGAUGUUGGGUUAAGUCCCGCAACGAGCGCAACCCUUGUUUGCUGUUGCCAUCAGGUUAUGCUGGGCACUCUGCAAAGACCGCCGGUGAUAAACCGGAGGAAGGUGGGGAUGACGUCAAGUCAGCAUGCCCUUUAUGUCCAGGGCUACACACACGCUACAAUGGCCGGUACAACGGGUUCCAACACGGCGACGUGAAGGCAAUCCCUUAAAGCCGGUCUCAGUUCGGAUUGCAGGCUGCAACUCGCCUGCAUGAAGUCGGAGUUGCUAGUAACCGCAGGUCAGCACACUGCGGUGAAUACGUUCCCGGGCCUUGUACACACCGCUCGUC